CGGGCUGUGCUUAAGAAAAAAGCAGAAAGUGAAUCAUGUUUUAGGACAAACUGAGGUAGAAAGUGUCACUAAACCUUUUCCCACAGAACAAGGAGCCUAGGCUCCUUUCAGAACAAAGGCAGAUGGGCUGUUCUGUUAUUUGUGGUUAAGUCACAGGGUAGGACACCUAAAGCCCAGUCAGGAAAAUAACCAAAACGACCCACAGAACAUGAAGGACAUUAAGCCGAGUGGCAUGAGCCCCACCCUGGAGGAAAUGGCACACUGGAAACAGAUGAACCUCGAAACCUCAGUGACCAGACAGCAAACAACGUAGGUGGGCCAGGGGCAGAGGACAGAAACAAGAACACACUGUUCAUCCUUCCUUAAGAAGUGCCCUGGCCUUAGAUUUCUCAUUUUAUUGAAAACCAACCAACUAGGUAAAUUAUUCACUCUAGCACAUGCCCUUACUCUCCACAAUGUGGACCUUUCCAAGCAGCAGUAAAGUCAGUUGUCAGGUCCCUACCGGAGGAACUCGAAGUUUCGUCUUUUUUCUCCUCCUCCUCUUUAUCAUUGUUCUCUCCACCUGUUUCGGUCCCAGCUUCCCUGUCACUGUCCGUGUCCUUUGACUCCAGCACAUUAAUGGUGGGGGUGCUGGGCCUGCUGCUGUUGUUGGGAAGCCUCCCUCGUCUGCGACCUCCUGGGCGUUUGGGGGGCGUCUUGAUCCGCUCGGCAGUGAGGGCGGCAGCGAACUCCUUUGCUCCCUCCUAUGAAGUGAAACAUGGAGGAGAUAUAUCAAGGUCAAGUUCCAUGACUCAUUUUGUUGAAGGAGAAAACAAAAGAUUGGAUAAGCAAGGAGUCAAGAAAUUUAACACAGUAUCCAUUUUGCACAAAUAGUUGCAUCUCUAAAUAUGCUUGUUUCCUACUUCUAAUAGUGUGGAAAUUUCAGAAAAACAGAAAUGGGUUCUAUAUAUUGCUGGAGUGUUGUGAAAUCAGGCAAGACAGUUCUAUAUUUGUGAAAUGCAUUAACUGGUUAGUAAAUUAAAAUGUAAAAUAUAUUUUACAUAUAUAAUUUCUUUACAAGUGAAAUUUUAUGAGGAAAAUCAUAUACUUCCUGUGCAUCUGGAGUCAAACUUUCCUAAUCUGGCUGGGGUUUCUAAGAUAGCACAUGCUUCUAUGGUCAUGGUUAAAAUACACAAGAAUACAAAACAAACAUGCUGGACUUUGUCAUUUCCUGCCUUACUAUUAAAAUAUCCCAUUUUUUCCUGUAAGGGAUACAAACCCCCAGGAAGACACUUGAGGAUCAAGGCUGCGAGGAUUACAUCUGUAUUACGAAGUGCAAUAUCCAGUCUCAGAAAGUAUAAAACAAUGGGGAGAGCAUUGACUACAGAGAGACCAGAGAAACAUUUCAGAUGAGCCAAAUAAAUUCUACCUUGUAAAGAAUAUAUAAAAUAAGUGCUUAAGAAUCCCAUUUUUAGUGGCAAUAGAAGGGAGAAGUUUGAGAGCAGCCAACAGUUUUAUACUUCAUUCUACAAAAACCAAAUUGCUUAAAAAUAGGAUACCUUCUGCAGGUGCCAUUCAAUGAAUCUUCUGUCCAAAAUCCAACAGGCAAUAUAUACCCACUUAGUUCCUAGGUAGGAGUGGCUUGGUUCAAAGAGGGGAAAUGGUAAAAAUAAGAUAGUACCCAUAAAAAAAACAACUUUUCUACCUCAUUAUUUCCCUAAACCUUUACCUUUUCUCCAUUUUUAUUUU
Pipistrellus kuhlii (Kuhl's pipistrelle) is the source of this 1728-nucleotide long non-coding RNA. RefSeq lists it as uncharacterized. The transcript has 2 exons. The record is from RefSeq and is a predicted model, not a curated record. NCBI's taxonomy places the organism in Eukaryota, Metazoa, Chordata, Mammalia, Chiroptera, Vespertilionidae.